This is a non-coding RNA of Taeniopygia guttata (zebra finch), 845 nucleotides long. The record is from RefSeq and is a predicted model, not a curated record. NCBI's taxonomy places the organism in Eukaryota, Metazoa, Chordata, Aves, Passeriformes, Estrildidae.
UUUCCCAAACCAAACAUCCCCAUCCCGCCUCACAAAAUAUGUCAGCAGGGUAUUUUCAGGAGCCCGGGGAAGGCAGGAGGGACAAAUAACGCCUUUGCCAUGAUCCCUCCAAGUCUUCCAGCAGAAUUUAGAUCAUUUCAGCCAGGGUUUAGCUUACUUCAAACAGGUGUUUUGCCAGUGAUUAUAGAAUCACAAAGUUUGGAAAAGACCUCCAGGAUAAAGCCCAACGUUUGAUGGAAUGCAGUGUUGCAAGCUUGGACUGAGGCAUUCACUUCUCUGAGGCACAUGGCAUAAAAAGUUGGAGUCACUCAUCCACUGGAUGAAAAAUAAAAGUCACAAUCCUGAGCACGUUUUAAAUCAAGUCUUCCAAAAUUUUGGUUCUUUAAGGAUUUUUAAUCCUUAAAGAUUUUAAGGCUCUUUUGGAUCUUUAAGGAUUUUUUUCCCCUCAGUUAUUGCUGACCCCGUCCCCAAACUACUCCUUGGUCUUUUAGCAUUUAUUUCCUUCUCAGGGGAGCUGCCCUGCAUGAGAAGAAUUAAUCCAGAAAUAUUCUGAAGGAGGCAAACAAUCUUUUGGUGGAGAUAUUCAGAGCAUCAUUCAUCAGAGAGCAACUACUUAUGGAAGACAAGAACAACUUAAAAAUGACAACUGGAAAUUAAAAAGUCAUAAUGUAAAGACUCUCCCUGGCUAAGGGAUAACACAGACAGCACCUGCAGCUCUCUGAGGUGAUCCAAUAGCAUUUACACUCAUUAAUGAAAAAUCAAUCAAACCAAGCUCAUUCAACCCCUGCCCAUCCCACCACUGCUUUAAGGCAAACUUCAGCACUGCAGCCUCCAAACUCUGUGAA